Long non-coding RNA from Eriocheir sinensis (Chinese mitten crab), 1724 nucleotides. RefSeq lists it as uncharacterized. NCBI's taxonomy places the organism in Eukaryota, Metazoa, Arthropoda, Malacostraca, Decapoda, Varunidae. The record is from RefSeq and is a predicted model, not a curated record. The transcript has 4 exons.
ACGGUAACAAAACUUGGCUGCUGACACCAUAUCUGCGACCUCAGCAUGAAUACCAGCUAGCCUACAAUAGAGCUCACAAGAAAACACGGAGUAUUGUGGAGAGAGGAAUUGGCCAGUGGAAGCGAAGAUUUCAUGUUCUCCACAGUGAAAUUCGUGUAACUCCCCCAGGGAAAGUAUGUAAGAUUAUUUUUGUCUGCGCUAUGUUGCACAACAUAUGCAAAGACAGAAAUAUUCAAAUACUUUUGGAGGGUGGUGAAGAACAUGGCCAACCACAAGCAGAGGACAACAUCCAGAUGGCUGCCGGAGAGGAAAAUGACGACAAUGGUGGUCAUGCCGAGCCGCUCCCUGCAGGUCAAGACCGUGAUGGAUUGCGGUACAGGGACGAGUUUGUCAGACGCUAUUUCAAUGUUGAACUGUGAGGAACUUCAAUGUACAAUCGUGCCAGAAAAAACUGUCUCCUCCUCAUCUACCAUGAAGACUGUUCCGUCUUCCGAGGCAGAGGGAAGCAGCACACUGGUGACUUCUGUGGCAGGGGCAGAGGGAGCAGGCACGCUGGAAAUCACCUCAGCAGCAGCAGCAAAUAAGGCGGGCAGAUCUUGGGUAGCACCCUCCAAGAGCGACGCUGGGCCAGUUUCUGCAUGACUGGUUAACUCACUCAUGCAGACACUAAGGAAAAAAAGUUUAAAUUAUUGAUAAGUCUAAUUGUACAGUGCUCGCAAAAAGUUUAGGACGCGCCUAUCAGCCGAACGCAGGUCGCUAGGGAACUCACGCAUUAUAAGAAAAGAGCUGAAAAAAUCGUUACAAUGUAGCGAAAAUGCUUUGCUUUGUCUUUGCAACGUUGGUCGAGUCUCCCGCUAAGUAGUGACAACACUGAAAAUGAGCUGCCAGUUAGUUUUUAAAAAUUUAAGUAGUGAAGAAAUAACCUUUCCACCCCAGCCCGCUCCACGAGUGACGCUUUGAAAUUAUGUGUAUCUACAGAUUGUGUUGUGAACUGCGGAUUUAAUAUUGGGAAAUAUGAACAAUUAUCACAUGAUAUACUUGCAAUGAUAGUUGCUUUGCAUAAGGCUGGGCAGCAAACCAAGGAGAUCUUGAUACAACUCGGUGUGAGUGAGUGUUCUCUGAGGAAGAACGUUGCCAGGUUUCACCAGCGUGGCGGCGAGGAAACACCCACUCAAAAACCUCGGUCUGUCCACCCUUAUAAGGUCUUAUAACGGCCGUGGAGCGGGCUGGGGUGGAAAGGUUAUUUCUUCACUACUUAAAUUUUUAAAAACUAACUGGCAGCUCAUUUUCAGUGUUGUCACUACUUAGCGGGAGACUCGACCAACGUUGCAAAGACAAAGCAAAGCAUUUUCGCUACAUUGUAACGAUUUUUUCAGCUCUUUUCUUAUAAUGCGUGAGUUUCCUAGCGACCUGCGCUCGUCUGAUCGGCGCGGCCUAAACUUUUUGCGAGCACUGUAAGCUAUGUUAAGUCUGAUACACAUUGAGUAAAAAUGCAGCCUCAACUUUCUUUCUAAUACUCCCCAGUGAAUCAAGAAAGAGUUCUGGGGGGCAGCAUGAGCUAAACAUAACAGGCACCAAUUUAAACAAAUUCCUUAUGCCAUGACGAGCUUCAUGAGACUACCAUGCCCUUAAAAAUAAACAAAUAAAUUAUUCAACAAAUACAUAAAAGAAAACUACAGGCACUAUAGGUUGACUUGAAAUAAAUAAGUAAAGUUACUACACUC